GGACGCGCAUUCAAGCGUCCGCAUCAUCGGGUCAAACCGGUGGUGCGUGGCGUUGCGGGCUCGGUCCGCUGGAGGACCAGCGUGUCAACCGGCCCGCCCGUCCCCUCCUUCUGGAUUCCCGUUCCUGCUAUUGAGUUAGUGGGGACGUCACAGGGGAUCAUCCAUCGGGGGGUGGCAACACCAUCCGGUGGGUGGUCUCUGGGGCCCAGAUCGUUUACCGUGAAAAAAUUAGAGUGUUCAAAGCAGGCAGAUUUUUUACCAUUCUGCCACCGAAUACAUUAGCAUGGGAUAAUGGAAUAGGACCCUGUCCUCCUAUUUUCCGCGUUGGUUUUUGAGGACCAGGGUA
Molecule: ribosomal RNA, 346 nt
Filed under: uncultured fungus
Lineage: Eukaryota; Fungi
Description: partial small subunit ribosomal RNA
Source: RNAcentral